This is a long non-coding RNA of Cyprinus carpio (common carp), 1131 nucleotides long. The record is from Ensembl. NCBI's taxonomy places the organism in Eukaryota, Metazoa, Chordata, Actinopteri, Cypriniformes, Cyprinidae.
AUGGAUAGCUCCACAUCAGUGUCGAUUGGGAUAGCCGUGGCGUUUGGGAUCUUGGGAUUGUUCGUGCUGAUCUGUUUGGUGCAGCUCUGCAUCAAGAAAAUCAAAUGUUGCGAUUGCAAAAAGCCUUCGGUGAAAGACAAAAUUUUAAAGAAAGUUGGGAUUACAAAAUCUUCACCUCCGUUUUCAAUCAGCAGACUCGUUGACAAGAAAUAACGGCCAUCAAUGCUCAUAUGACAUUCUCUCAAUGUAAAUACAUAGUGUACAUACCCACCUUUUUUUAUUUUACAACACCUGUAACUAAAUAUUUCCAUAUUAUUAUGAAAUCUGUCGAUUAUUAUUUUUUAUUUCUGUGAAAAGUGUGAAUAACGUUUCUGAGGUAAAGAUGUCAGUGAUGUUAGGGAUGUUGAUGAGUCAUAACUGUUUAAGAUCAUUUUCCCACAGCUAGGGAAAAAACAGCACACCUUCAUUGCUCUAUGCGAUCGCUUCUCUUGUUGUUUUUCUUAUUCUCUGACAUUCUGUGAAUUUUGUCACUGUUUCAGUGUCACCACAGAAACAUAACACAGCCUUCUUCUCAAGCCAAACUGUUUCUAAGUAAAAAAUAAUGUCAAAGGUCACCAUAUGCACUGAUGAAAUAUUAGUCUCUUCAGUCGCAGUAGAAAGAUCACAAUAUCUUCAUUGCGAUUUAUAAGUCCUCUCUGGUGAUAUAUUUCCUGUUAAGCAACAUUAUGUAUGUGAUGAAAUAUUGAUCUUGACUCUAUAAUAAUAUCUGAUUGUAAUUUUUUUAAAGGAAUAUGUAGUCAUAUUUGGUCAGAUUUAUUAGUCUAGUAUAUUAUCCUCUGUACAUAUAUGUGUGUGUGUGUGUGUGUGUGUGUGUGUGCAUGUGUCUUCAAAUAUUAUCCUUUAUUAGUUGUUUAAUGUUAUUUUUCAGUUCAACUUUCCACUCAAAUUGUUUUGUUCAUAUUCUAUAAAAAAAAAUUCAAUUUAUAAAAUUAGAAGCAUUUUGGACCCCAUUGAACAUUUCUGUUGUGGUUCCUUUUCCUCUUUGUUCUUUGGUUAUCAUCGUUGUUUUUCAUUUGAUUCAGUUUAUGGCAGUGUCUCAUAGCAGCGCACUAAACCGCAAGCCAAACAGAG